RNAcentral lists this ribosomal RNA (253 nucleotides) under uncultured bacterium. RNAcentral describes it as "partial 16S ribosomal RNA". It matches the Rfam family "Bacterial small subunit ribosomal RNA", at positions 524 to 776 of the family's 1533-position model. The record is from RNAcentral.
UACGUAGGGCGCAAGCGUUGUCCGGAAUUAUUGGGCGUAAAGAGCUCGUAGGCGGCCUGUUGCGUCCGCUGUGAAAUCCCGGGGCUCAACCCCGGGCCUGCAGUGGAUACGGGCUGGCUGGAGGCAGGCAGGGGAGAGCGGAAUUCCUGGUGUAGCGGUGAAAUGCGCAGAUAUCAGGAGGAACACCGGUGGCGAAGGCGGUUCUCUGGGAAUGUUCUGACGCUGAGGAGCGAAAGCGUGGGGAGCGAACAGG